AUUGAGCGCUGGCGGCAGGCCUAACACAUGCAAGUCGAGCGGAUGAAGGGAGCUUGCUCCUGGAUUCAGCGGCGGACGGGUGAGUAAUGCCUAGGAAUCUGCCUGGUAGUGGGGGAUAACGUCCGGAAACGGGCGCUAAUACCGCAUAUGUCCUGAGGGAGAAAGUGGGGGAUCUUCGGACCUCACGCUAUCAGAUGAGCCUAGGUCGGAUUAGCUAGUUGGUGGGGUAGAGGCCUACCAAGGCGACGAUCCGUAACUGGUCUGAGAGGAUGAUCAGUCACACUGGAACUGAGACACGGUCCAGACUCCUACGGGAGGCAGCAGUGGGGAAUAUUGGACAAUGGGCGAAAGCCUGAUCCAGCCAUGCCGCGUGUGUGAAGAAGGUCUUCGGAUUGUAAAGCACUUUAAGUUGGGAGGAAGGGCAGUAAGUUAAUACCUUGCUGUUUUGACGUUACCAACAGAAUAAGCACCGGCUAACUUCGUG
This 484-nucleotide ribosomal RNA is filed under the name uncultured bacterium. RNAcentral's name for it is "partial 16S ribosomal RNA". It matches the Rfam family "Bacterial small subunit ribosomal RNA", at positions 30 to 507 of the family's 1533-position model. The record is from RNAcentral.